This 429-nucleotide ribosomal RNA is filed under the name Gemmatimonadota bacterium. RNAcentral describes it as "Gemmatimonadetes bacterium partial 16S ribosomal RNA". It matches the Rfam family "Bacterial small subunit ribosomal RNA", at positions 355 to 776 of the family's 1533-position model. The record is from RNAcentral. Lineage: Bacteria; Pseudomonadati; Gemmatimonadota.
UAGGGAAUCUUCGGCAAUGGACGAAAGUCUGACCGAGCAACGCCUCGUGAGUGAAGAAGGUUUUCGGAUCGUAAAACUCUGUUGUUAGAGAAGAACAAGGACGUUAGUAACUGAACGUCCCCUGACGGUAUCUAACCAGAAAGCCACGGCUAACUACGUGCCAGCAGCCGCGGUAAUACGUAGGUGGCAAGCGUUGUUCGGAUUUGUUGGGCGUAAAGCGAGCGCAGGCGGUUUCUUAAGUCUGAUGUGAAAGCCCCCGGCUCAACCGGGGAGGGUCAUUGGAAACUGGGAGACUUGUGUGCAGAAGAGGUGAGUGGAAUUCCAUGUGUAGCGGUGAAAUGCGUAGAUAUAUGGAGGAACACCAGUGGCGAAGGCGGCUCUCUGGUAUGUAACUGACGCUGAGUCUAGAAAGCGUGGGGAGCAAACAGG